AAAGUCAAAGGUGAUAUUACCCAUAGAGUACAAAAAGAAUUCAGAAGUGAAGGAAGAUCGCGCACCAUCACCACCUCCAGCUGGUUCGAUUUGGUUCGGGAGAUUUGUCCAACUCUAGUUUAGACUGCCUUUAUAACAUCUGAAUUCUGAUCCAUCUCACAAAUUUACUGGGGAACGACCAUUCAUCAAUAUAUCUAGUCACAUAUAUUUAUUAUGAGAAUGUAGCUCAAACAAACAUUCUCGAGAUAUUAUUCAUAUUACUCAUUAUUUUUAUGGUUUUAUGACAUGUACUGAAUCAAGAAUGUUGAUGUAAAGUCAAAGGUGAUAUUACCCAUAGAGUACAAAAAGAAUUCAGAAGUGAAGGAAGAUCGCGCACCAUCACCACCUCCAGCUGAACCAGAACUGAAGCCAGAACCAGAACCAGUUAAAGUGGGAGCACUUGUUACAGAACCACCUGAUCUGCUGGUAAUUUUUAGAAUAUUGACAGGUUCAUGAUAUUGAGCUUUUCUUUGUUUUGGUAACUUUAUGCUUUGAACAAUUUUUGAGCUUCUC
RNAcentral lists this long non-coding RNA (552 nucleotides) under Olea europaea (common olive). Its description in RNAcentral is "long non-coding RNA (OEUR_LNC014936)". Lineage: Eukaryota; Viridiplantae; Streptophyta; Magnoliopsida; Lamiales; Oleaceae. The record is from RNAcentral.